Molecule: long non-coding RNA, 1046 nt
Organism: Armigeres subalbatus
Lineage: Eukaryota; Metazoa; Arthropoda; Insecta; Diptera; Culicidae
Exons: 3
Source: RefSeq, a predicted model, not a curated record
UGCAAUGGUUGAUAGUUGAUAAUUAUCAAUUCCUGCACAUAAAACUCAAUAGCAAACUCUAAUAGACAUUUUUGUAGUGGAAUAUUUGUGGUUGGAAGAUUUCGCCGUUCCGUCAGUAAAAUUUGUACCUACACUAGUUCCGGAAAAACCUUCUAUCCGUGAUGGAAUCGGCUUCGAAAUGGAUUGCAGUGUGCCCGUUUCAUCAUAAAAGCUGAAAGUUGGAAUACUUCUGAGCUUGGACCACAACACGGUGGCAAUCAGCGUUGUCUGGUUUUGUGGUAGCUGAUAGAUCAGAAGUUUCCAUCCUUUGAAGAUGAUCCCAAGCAAGAAGACGGAGUGGAAAUAAUUACAAAUGAUUAAUUUUGACCUGCAAGUGGACCAUUCUUAUUCGUUCAUGUAAAACCGUUUCGCUGCUGUGGGAGCCAUAAAUUAUCGCCGUGGUCCUGGCUAGUAAGUUGCUGCUGUGAAUGCUGCCGAUUGCUGACGAAAAAUGAAAAUUCUGGAAGACAUUUAUCAUCAGGUGCCGGAGCUGUUGUACAUGCAACCAAUCCCCAAGCCACUUCCAGCCAGUCUGCUGCAGUUGCCAUCAAGCAAAUCAUCACCACCGAUGAAACGUGCCAGCAUUUGCUACAACUCUACGGUACCCCCUCCUUCGGAAAAGAUGCCAGAUCAACCCUGGCAGAAUUACUCGCAUCCGCACUAUACUGUCCACUCUCCGGAUCACCAAGAGAAGCAUCGCUAGUACCAAUCUAUAUAGGGGUCGACCAUUCAUUACGUAAGCAUUUUUUUCUGGGUUUUUCGAAACCCCCUUCCCCUUGUAAGAUUUUUCCCAUACAAAUUAUUCUUUGUUUAUAUGCAAAGUAAGAAAAUGACAGACCCCCUUCCUUCUAAGUGCUUACGUAAUUAGUGUACGACCCAAAGAUACUGUACUGCAUAGUAAUUCAUUAUACCAUCGAUUGUGUGAUUUUAUUCCUCUAACAGAAAAUUAUACUUAAAAACUUUUAUUUAAAUACAUUGUGUUUUUGUUAACCUAUUUUUUAAAUAAU